UGCUCUAGGAAGAUUACUCUAAUACAUGUUUAUUCUGUUAUUCAAUAAAUAUUUGUUGAGCUUGUACAAUGUACCAGAUGCAGUCUAAAUGCUGGUCACACAGUGAGGCCUUUGUAUCGUUCUUUCUCUAAGUCUAGUGAGACCAUAUAGAAUGAAUUGGAAAAGCAAGAUAAUCAGGGUAGCUAAGAGAUAUUUUCUGCAUUACAGAAGAGAAAAAUCUAUGCUGAGUUCGUGGCAGUGGGAAUGGGAAUGGGAAUAGAGCAGCUGGGCCUGGCUGGAGAUAAAAACCCAUGGAAAAUGGACAGAAAUUGACAAAUCAUUUUACAUGAAAGAGUAAGAGAUGAGGACUCACUAUGCUGUCCAGACUGGUCUCAAACUCCUGGCCUCAAGCCAUCCUCCCUGCUCAGUCUCCCAAAGUGCAGGCCUGAGCCACCAAGGGCAAACUUUGUUAAAAGGAAGCCUUACAUGGAGGAUUUAAACAAAACAGAUAAAAGCUGAGUGGAUCUGAUCAGAGUGGCUGGGGCUUGGAGCUUCGCCCUUUGGCCCUUCCCAGAAACCUUCAUCCCCACAUGCUCCACAUCCUCAGCUCCGCAGACUCCAGCUUGAAAGCCUUCACCCUUGAAAAACAACCAAGAUGAAUAAGGAAGAGACAGUCAAAUGAAGUUAAAAACUGCAGGAGCAGCUGAAGACCAGCAGGAUUGCAGAGAUCCACCGUCUGGAAGGACUUCCUGCCUUGGCUUGUUGAAAUCCAGCAAAGAGCACAGGCAAGAACCUGGAGGUGCAGAGGCUGAGGAGAGGCAACUGCAAAAUUGGAACCAAAGGGGAAUGGGCUUUGUGGGGAAAAUAGUAGGAGGGAGCACCUGCACAAUGUGGUGUUCCUGUGUCCCUGGCUGCAAACGACAUAAGAGAAAAUAAAAGAGUUAGGGCCUAGCAAGACAGGCCAACAUUCAAAUUCAGGAAAUACAGAGAACACCGCAAAGAUACUCUUCAAGAGGAGCAACCCCAAGACACAUAAUUGUCAGAUUCUCGAAGGCUGAAAUGAAGGAAAAAAUG
Molecule: long non-coding RNA, 1053 nt
Organism: Pongo pygmaeus (Bornean orangutan)
Lineage: Eukaryota; Metazoa; Chordata; Mammalia; Primates; Hominidae
Exons: 3
Source: RefSeq, a predicted model, not a curated record